RNAcentral lists this ribosomal RNA (253 nucleotides) under uncultured bacterium. Its description in RNAcentral is "partial 16S ribosomal RNA". It matches the Rfam family "Bacterial small subunit ribosomal RNA", at positions 524 to 776 of the family's 1533-position model. The record is from RNAcentral.
UACGAAGGGGGCUAGCGUUGUUCGGAAUUACUGGGCGUAAAGCGCACGUAGGCGGAUUUGUAAGUCAGGGGUGAAAUCCCGGGGCUCAACCUCGGAACUGCCUUUGAUACUGCAAAUCUCGAGUCCGGAAGAGGUGAGUGGAAUUCCUAGUGUAGAGGUGAAAUUCGUAGAUAUUAGGAAGAACACCAGUGGCGAAGGCGGCUCACUGGUCCGGUACUGACGCUGAGGUGCGAAAGCGUGGGGCGCAAACAGU